AGUUCUGUUCUGUUGGGUCUGCUCACUCCCUGGACUAAUUUUGCCUGAGAUCUCUCAAGGAAUCCAGGAAGCCACUUUCAACUAGGAUGUUUCCUUUUAACUGAACCUUCUUAAACACAUUAUCAAAGCAUUAAUACAGAGCCUUACUUCAAAGUCUGUCCCCAGCUCCUGGAGUCAAGAGGAUAUGUGAUGAUUACAGCCUUCAUUCUUUUAAAAAAAAAAAAAGUUUGGAUCCAGUAAAAGCUCCUGCAAACCUAUUUUCAGUAAGAUGGUAAUACUGAGACACGAAGAGGUGAAAUGACUUACCCAAAGACAAACAGCAAGUUAGUAGCAGAGCCUGGAAUAGAUCCAACCUAGACCUUCUGACUCUCAGCCUCCUGCUCUAAUCCUUAUGCAUAUUUCCUUUU
This is a long non-coding RNA of Mauremys mutica (yellowpond turtle), 407 nucleotides long. RefSeq lists it as uncharacterized. The transcript has 4 exons. Lineage: Eukaryota; Metazoa; Chordata; Testudines; Geoemydidae. The record is from RefSeq and is a predicted model, not a curated record.